Molecule: unclassified non-coding RNA, 387 nt
Filed under: uncultured Actinomycetes bacterium
Lineage: Bacteria; Bacillati; Actinomycetota; Actinomycetes
Description: uncultured actinobacterium contains 16S-23S intergenic spacer region
Source: RNAcentral
UCCGAGUUGACCCCGGCAGUCUCCCAUGAGUCCCCAACCACCCCGCAAGGGAUGUUGCUGGCAACAUGGAACGAGGGUUGCGCUCGUUGCGGGACUUAACCCAACAUCUCACGACACGAGCUGACGACAACCAUGCACCACCUGUCACCGGCCCAAAAAGGACCCCGCAUCUCUGCGAGUUUUCCGGCGAUGUCAAGCCCUGGUAAGGUUCUUCGCGUUGCAUCGAAUUAAGCCACAUGCUCCGCCGCUUGUGCGGGCCCCCGUCAAUUCCUUUGAGUUUUAGCCUUGCGGCCGUACUCCCCAGGCGGGGCGCUUAAUGCGUUAGCUACGGCACGGAACCCGUAACAGGCCCCACACCUAGCGCCCAACGUUUACGGCGUGGACUAC